GACCAGACUCCUACGGGAGGCAGCAGUGGGGGAUAUUGCACAAUGGGGGGAACCCUGAUGCAGCAACGCCGCGUGGGUGAAGGAGCGUUUCGGCGCGUAAAGCCCUAUCGGCAGGGAAGAAGGAGGACGGUACCUGACUAAGAAGCCCCGGCUAACUACGUGCCAGCAGCCGCGGGAAUACGUAGGGGGCAAGCGUUAUCCGGAUUUACUGGGUGUAAAGGGGGCGCAGACGGCAGCGCAAGCCAGGAGUGAAAGCCCGGGGCCCAACCCCGGGACUGCUCUUGGAACUGCGCGGCUGGAGUGCAGGAGGGGCAGGCGGAAUUCCUGGUGUAGCGGUGAAAUGCGUAGAUAUCAGGAGGAACACCGGUGGCGAAGGCGGCCUGCUGGACUGCGACUGACGUUGAGGCCCGAAAGCGUGGGGAGCAAACAGGAUUAGAUACCCGUGUAU
This 448-nucleotide ribosomal RNA is filed under the name uncultured bacterium. RNAcentral describes it as "bacterial SSU rRNA". It matches the Rfam family "Bacterial small subunit ribosomal RNA", at positions 329 to 793 of the family's 1533-position model. The record is from RNAcentral.